UAGGGAAUCUUCCGCAAUGGACGCAAGUCUGACGGAGCAACGCCGCGUGAGUGAAGAAGGAUUUCGGUUCGUAAAACUCUGUUGUUAGAGAAGAACAGCGCAUAGAGUAACUGUUAUGCGUGUGACGGUAUCUAACCAGAAAGCCACGGCUAACUACGUGCCAGCAGCCGCGGUAAUACGUAGGUGGCAAGCGUUGUCCGGAUUUAUUGGGCGUAAAGCGAGCGCAGGCGGUCAAUUAAGUCUGAUGUGAAAGCCCCCGGCUCAACCGGGGAGGGUCAUUGGAAACUGGUUGACUUGAGUGCAGAAGAGGAGAGUGGAAUUACAUGUGUAGCGGUGAAAUGCGUAGAUAUAUGGAGGAAAACCAGUGGCGAAGGGGACUAUCUGGUCUGUAACUGACGCUGAGGCUAGAAAGCGUGGGUAGCAAACAGG
RNAcentral lists this ribosomal RNA (429 nucleotides) under Bacteroidota bacterium. RNAcentral describes it as "Bacteroidetes bacterium partial 16S ribosomal RNA". It matches the Rfam family "Bacterial small subunit ribosomal RNA", at positions 355 to 776 of the family's 1533-position model. The record is from RNAcentral. Lineage: Bacteria; Pseudomonadati; Bacteroidota.